Gallus gallus (chicken) is the source of this 8940-nucleotide long non-coding RNA. RefSeq lists it as uncharacterized. The transcript is spliced from 11 exons. NCBI's taxonomy places the organism in Eukaryota, Metazoa, Chordata, Aves, Galliformes, Phasianidae. The record is from RefSeq and is a predicted model, not a curated record.
GGAUUUCUAGCUGGAGAUCACUCCUCUCGGAGCUCCUCUGUGAGUCCAGGACAUAGACUAAUGGUAGAAGCGAGAGGAAGCACCAUAAAUUUCUACCAAACACUAGAAGAUGAUGACUGUGCCAUGAGACACAAAGGACCUGAUCAAAGAUGAAACAAAGCUCACUCAUCUCUGGGCCCUGCUAACAAUGCAAGGCAAAAAACUCUUACUAUCCCAAAGACCCUUUGUUGAGCACACCACUGAUGAAUCAUCAAAUAUCCAAUGUGGAACCCUGCAGGUAGUGAUAAGAAUGAUGUUCCUACUAACAAAGUCCAGUUUUAUACAAGCAGUGUUACCUUCCCUCUGGUCUCAGGGGUCAGGAAUUCCUAAAGACGAGUAUUACCAGGAAAGACUGAGAAAGCAUCAGUUUGUGAGCUCUUCUCUGUGAAUUUUCCCUUGUAGCAAACUGGGGAGAAUUUUCUUGCUCUUCUCAAAACUCACUGGCCCUGACGUGUGAUACCUGUGGGCUAGAGUAUCAUCUGGUCUACUUGGAAUGAAUCUAUACCUGUUUUGCAAAGUGGAAGGCUGCACUGGAGUUCUCAAAACAACUUUACAUGUGUCAUUUGUCAAGGACAAAAACCAGCAAUCUCCAAGAAGAUGAUAAAGGAAAGUUGAAAGUUAAUUCUAUUGCUUUGUCUCUGUCUGAACUGUACCUACUCUGUUUAUAUCCAAAACUGUGCUGAAUCUUACAGACGUUGCUAUCUUAUACAGGGUAUGAGGAUUCUGGGGAGCCAGGUUUGCAAUGUUAUGACCCCACAGAUGAAAAAUUCACUUCAUCUUUAUUCCAGAUAAAUUCACUUCAUCUUUAUUCCAGAAAACCAAACUGAGUGUGAUAUAUAGCUUUCAAAAACACUAACAUUACAUUUCAACUACUGUUUGUGUUACCAGUUGCGUGGACUUCUUAUUUAUUGUCUCUUUUGAUACUAUUGGGAAGGAACCACUCUUUAUCUCUGGCUUGUCCUAAACUUUGAGCUCAGGGAGCUGGGGCCGUACCUUCUUGACUUGUAUAUACACAUUUCAGUCCAUGGAUGAAUGCUCUGUAACAGUCAGAACAAUUACAAAACGGAGCAGAAGAGGGCUAAAUUCUCACUUUCUGUCACACAGAAUACAAUCUGACUUUGCUGACUUAGUGCCUUUCAGAAGUGUUGUCUAUAGAGUGUUUCCUGACCAGUGACUAGGAUCCCUGCCUCAUUCGUAAUUUUAUUCUUGCUUCUUAUAUCCCAGUACUGUGGGGAUUUGGAGAUGUAGACAUGCUAUUUAGUCAUGCACCACCAGAUUAAAGGUUCCAAAGGGGGAAUAGAAAACUUUUUCCUUUUACGUACGGUCUAGCUCUUAAAACAUGUAAAAAUACAGGAAGAAGGUCUAAAUAUUUCAAGAAUCCAUGAAGGAAAAGGAAGCAAUCCAAAUUUAUCUGCUGUCAGAAUGUCAGCAAAUAACAGAAAGUCUCUAUGCCUACAUUUUCCUACCUCUGACUCUCUAACCUAUUGAAAAGAGUAGUGAUACAACUUGAAACAUCAUCUUAGAAACAAGUCCUGACUGGAGAUUAAACUCACGAUGUUAUUAAGAUGAAACUGAGCAACAGCAGAACUCUAAAAUGAGGCUCUUUGAGGAAAAAAAAAAAAAAAAAAAAAAAAAAGAAAAAAGAUGAACUAGUAAAACGAUGGCAUUAUUUCUGAAGUUCCCACUAAAAAAUCCCAAAAUAAAUAGGAAUAAAAAACCACAAGAACCAAACAAUAGCAACAAAAAAACUUCCCAAACCACCUAGUGAAGAUGCUAAAAAUAAACAUAGAAGAGUUUUGAGAUUAAUGUUUCCAGCUGAGGGAAUACCUGGGGAGAAACAGUUGAAAGUUGUUGCCUGAAACAUAUGCAGUUAUUUGUGCAGAUUACAAAAAAAAUAAAAAUAAAAAUAAAAAAAAUAAUAAAAAAAUUGGGGGUCUGUGGUAGGCUAUGGAUUUCACCACUCAGAGAGCUUAUUUGUAAUGUAACUUCUGAAUGCCCUAUUUGCAAUGCUGAGGAAAUGAUCUUUAUUAUCUUUAAAUUGAUUUAGUGACUGAUACAGUGGUUGGAAACUCUGACUGUGGCAUGGGGGUUAGAACUAGAUGAUCUUUGAGGUCCCUUCCAACCCAAGCCAUUCUUUGAUUCGAUGAAUCUAUGAUUAUGAAAACAGGACAUUCAGGAUUCUUCUGAACUAGUGAAUAAGGUUGGAUUAGAGAACUAGUUAAGAAGAUGAAUCACCAUACUUUGAGGGUCCAGUUUUCUCCAGACCUAAAACUACUUAGAUCUAGAAAAUUCUUUUGCCUUAAAUGGGAUUCAAUUGGUGUGAAAGAAGUCAUUGUUUCACUUAAAGUAAAACUAGAUGUUCAAUAGUUGAAAUGAUCUUAUGAAUGGUACUAAGUCCUACUACCAUCUCAAAGACAUACACCAAUGCUUUUGUGUCUGUUAAGCAUUACAAUAGGCCACAAUCGAAACCUGGUGUUCACACAUUGGUAUUUUUGUAUUUGCAUGUCACGUGUCUAGGUGUCCAGUGGGAUCACAGCUGUCACGCAGAAUGAGAGCAUCAGAGAUGAUUUAGGUUUAGGUUGGAUUUGUUCUACUCCUACUCCCACUGUGGUGUACUUUGGAAGAUAUAUGCUAGUCAAGUUCCUGUACGUUGUAAGAAACUGCAAAUUCUUCUUCUCAGUAGACUUGGAUGAAGAUCUAAUUGGGCAUGAUAUUAUUCAGUAGGAGCAAGUGUGGCAGAAUCUGUCCCUGAAAUGUUUUAAGGACACUGUGUCCUUCCCCCCCCCCCCCCCUUUUUUUUUUUUCCCUCCUUUUGAGAAGUGCAACAGAACCAGGGGAAUUACGAGGCUGAUAAUCAUCAGCCUUGUGAGUGAUUGAGACAUCAGCUCACUAACUAGAACUCCUUACACUUGUUCUGUGUUUUGUUCUUGUGCUCACAGUUCUGUGAAGUGUUUGAUAUAUUCUGUUGAAUGGAAGGAUGAAAUGGUGUAGUGACUGUGAUUACCAUUAAGAGUAAUUAAAUUACACUCUGAGACCUCUAGCAGUAAUCAUCUUCUCAAAAAUCCCCUUUCCUGAUAAUUAAGGGCCCACUGGAGUCAGUGUCAUUACUCUUAGUGAUUUAUAUAGGAACAGAGCAGGCCCCUUGUUUUCUUUUCUAGGAGGUUCCCUUUCCCACCGGCUCUAUGCAGAUGCAGCAAAGUGUGGGGAGCAGUCUAGGGAAAAUAUAAGGCUAAGAAAUUGGUUGUUCCUCCCUGAUUCAGAGCUGAUAAGCUAAUUAAUCUGGCAGAGUGGCCUACGGAGAACUGUAUUUUAUAACAUAGGAAGAAAUAAUUUUACAGAAUUUACAUCUUGAGUAGCAGAAGCAUAUCUCAGCUCCCCUUUCUUUCAUCCACAUAUUGCCUACAGGAUUCCCAGGGCUUUUCACUGGCACUUCAGGCAUAUGGAAGGAGAUAAAACACCUUCUCACAGGUUCCUGCUAGUGUUGUAUUUUUCAAGGCAGAAAUCUGCAUUAAAGUUCUCUGGAUGCUCUUAGCCUAUAUUGUAUCAAUUAUAUGUACAAGAGGUAGAAGAAUAUCAGCAGAUUUAUAAAUCCAGGAAAUUAAGGUUUUUACUGCAAUCUUUUUUCAAGAUUUUAUUUUAUUCUUUCUCUGUUUAAACAUGGAUAUUCGAUGGAUUUUUUAUAAAAAAAAGUUUCAAUGGACAAAGGUAAAAGUGGCAUAUCAUGUCCUGGUUGUGAACAGCCAUGAGAGGUGAUGUGUACUUCACAUUACUCUAUCAAAUCUGGGAUUUUUCUCUCCCAUUCCUGUGUCUCACUUCAGUGCUGCUUUAGUUUUUCCGUUUUGAAUUUCUCAGAGUGGUCAGCAGUUGCUUAAAUAAAAAUGCUUGAGGUAUGAUUCACUGAGCCAUCACCAACAACUGGCAUCAAAACAUGCUUUUUCCUCAUGAUGGACGCUUCAAUCUUGAUCUUUCUGCCCAUCCCACAGCCUCUCUGGUCCUGUGCCUUCCUACAGUGCAGAGCCUUCCUCUUCUGGCAAUCAGAUACGCAUCUCACCAUGUUGUUUAUCUGCCUGAGCUGGUUACCCUUCUGGUCUCAUUCACUUUGCACCCUCCCUCUUCCUCAGCUCUUGAUUGCCUUUUCUACUUCUGCAGCUUGUGCUGAGGUGUAGUCAUGUGGAGAAAAAGGCACACCUGGAGGCUGUUUCUGCCCCUUGUUCUUGGCUGGAACUGUGCUGUUACAAGUGGUACCUGAGGCUGCCAAGGUGGUUAUCCAGGAACAUAAGGGUAAACAGGGCCGUGUCAGAAGGCACAGCAUGAAGUAUCUGAUCCCAGAGAAGCCGUGGUGCCCCAUCCCUGGCUCAAGGCCAGGUUGGAUGGGGCCCUGGGCAGCCUGAGGUGGUGGGGGGCAGCCCUGCCCAUGGCAGGGGUUGGGACUGGGUAGGCUUUGAGGUCCCUUCUAACCCAAACCAUUCUAUGAUUCCACCUCCCAGUUUCCAACAUCUCUACUAUUAAGGGGUUUCCAGUAGUGUGGAAGAGUGACAGCAGAACUUCCUCUUUCUUUUCUGUGUUUAUAAGCUCUUGUCACGUGCCCAGGGUUUCCCAACUCCAAUCCUGCAGCCAUGGGACUGGGAGACUGGAUUUAGCAGGGCACCACAGCAAAAUUCCUGACUGUAUACCAGCAGUGAUGGGAACAAGGGAUAUAGCUGUUAUAGCUGCAUAAGAUAAAACAAAACAAAACCAAAGCUCUUUCUGUGCCAGACAAAUGUCACAGAGAUCACGUUUUUUGUUUUGUUUUGUUUUGUUUUUUUAACUGCUGUAUGACUGUACUAUCCCGCCAUAGUAUAAAACAAAUAUCCCUGUGGGCCUGUGAAUCAACCUUGCCCUUAUUUUAAUAUAAGGGUUUGUAUGUGAGUAUAAUAACUUGUCCUUGACUGAAGGAGCUCUCUGAUUUUUCUUGCUCUUUGUUACAUUUAUUUUUUUGUGGUACACUUGCUGCUAUUUUAAUACCUUUAUUUGGCUGAAAAUUCUUUUUUAGCAGUGUGCUGAAUUCAACCUAAUAGCAGUGAGAGCCCUAGGCAGAAGAUACCAAUUUUAUGGUUGUAUGGUAGGCUUAUGACACCCGAGUAAAAUUUCCUUAUUUGCUAUUGCUAGUAUCACACACUGCUUCAACUGAGCAAAAGUAGUUUAGAUGUUCAUUGUGAAGUCUUAUUAAUAAGACCUUCUUGCAUCUGAGCCAUUGCAAAUCAAAAGGUUAUCAGCAGGAGAUAAAAGGAAAUAUCAGAAAGGGGUGCUCUUAAGAAAGUUCUGUCAGAUUAUAGGAAUUUUUAUCAAUAAGAAAACAGAGCACACAUUUGGCAGAUUACUAGAUUUUUUUCCCUAUGUUCAAAAGUUUUUAUUAAAAAUAAUAAAAAUAAGCCUGAAGACAAACAGCAAGGAGAGUGCUCUUCUUUCCCAGUGGAGAUAGUUCAGCUUUUGAUUAUCAUUUUUCAAAUACUGUUAGCCAUAAGAAAGCUAUGGAGAAAACAGAGUCUGGUGACUACAUGCAGUGAUUAAUAUAAUUAUCUGCAGAACUAGGCCCCAGAUAUGUCUCUUGUUUCCAUCUUGUGGGCACUGUUGGUUUAUGAAAGCUAUCAUGUGUGGGUUUCUCCUCCAAGUGUGUACUAGGACCAUGGAAUUGUAUAGGAUGUAAGGGACCUCUGGAGGUCAUUUAAUCUAAUGUCCUGUUCAAAAUCUGGUACAGGCUAGAUCUGGUUGCCCAAGGCCUUAACUAGGCAAACUCUGAGUAUCUUCAGAGAUGGAAAUCUCACAACCAUUAUGAAAGAACCUGUUAUAGAUUUUGACUACAAUUUCUGUUAAAAGAUUUUUUUUUUCUGACAUCCAAUCAUAAUUCCUCUUCUUGCAAGCAGUGUCUCUUGUCCUUUGUCUUUUUCACUAUGAAUCUUCAUGAAGAGAUGAGUCUUGUUCUUGUAGCCUCCCACUAGCCAAUUGAAGAUAUGGUCUGGCCCCCCUCCACAUUUUUAGUCCCUCACCCCAACACUGAACGAAUGCAGUUCUGUCAACCUCUCCUUUACGUUUCUGUAGACAAUGACAUAAAAAAUAAAAGAAAGUGAUUUUGGAAAUAUGUGGUGGAAGAGAGAAAGGUCAUUGAUGGGCUGUCCAAUAUAAGAUCAGAUAUAUCCUUAACAUAUGUUAACAUAUAUCCUUGGCACUAGAAAUGUCAAUAUGUAUUGAGUGCAGGUUUAAUUUCUCAUUUGUUAAAAGUCUGUAGAAAAGAGAAGGGCUCUUUAGCCACAGUGCAGUCCAAAUGGAGUACAGAUUUUCAUGUCUCCUAGUUUGCGUUCACAUCUUCCAGGUACAAUGACAAGGGAGAAUUAAUAAAUCACAUUAAUAGUAUUCUGCUCUCAACAGCUUUCCACCUAACAGAACCAGUGAAGCAUCUCCUCUUAUUUUGUCUUCUCAAAAAUCCUUCAUAGACAUCUUUCUUCUGCAGAAGUGUUUGGAUAUGUAUGCAGCUUGGUAGCUGAUUUUUGUCAUCAUGAUAUACAGAAGAUUUGAACUCCUUAAUAUGUGAUGAGGCUAUCAGUUCCCACAGUCGCAGCUGUUUUAUGUAUCAGUAUUGCGCUGCAAGCAGAUAACUAUUUUGAUCUUUAGACACAAAUUGGAAUAUUUUUACUCUACAUAUUUUAAAGUAUUCCAAACAAGUGAAUAUUUAUGUUUUGAAUUAUUCUCCCCACAGACAUCAGUCUAUAUAUUUAAAAUCUAACCUCUUUUUUUUUUUUUUCCAUGUCUCAAUCUUCUAGAUUCCUUUUCCCUCUAUUUCAUUAGUGAUUUGAAUAGUACUUGCAGCAUGCUAUUGACUCUUUCAUCAAGUUAUGGAAAAUGUCAGUUGGGCAGUUUUUCUUGUACUCAGCAAGAAUAUCCCUCAGCAUUAUGCUGGUCUAUAAUGACAUCCUGACAAUAUUUCUCCUCUCUGCUUAUAGCCCUUCACUGAGUUCAUUAUUGCUCUAGCUUGCCAUUCCAUGUAAAACAAACUACAAUACAUUUCACUCUUCAAAUAAACUAUUAACCUGUAUUCUUAGAGAGAGAAACUUUUCAAGUUGUGUCCUACAGGAACCUAUAUAGAUUGAGAAUAGCAUAUCAGUAGAAAUGAGCUCAUAAAAGUAUAAGGAAAUAUUACCAAGAAGUUAGGAAUUAACGUUAAAGCAUUACAUUGCCUCUCCAGAUUGAUGCAGCUAUAUCACACUUAAAAUGUCAGUACAGCAUAUGCAGACAUCAUCUUCAAACUUGCUAAUACAUAUAUACAUGUAUAUAUAAAAUUAUGUUUAUAUGUUCAGCCAUUUCUAUCUUUGCUCUGAAUAAUUUUGAGAAAGUGUGAUUUUCUGUGGUAUGAUGAAUACCUUUUCAAAUUAAGAGACCGUAAAAAAAAGUAGAUUCGCCAAAGAAGGGCCAUCAAAUGAUACCCAGACAAAAUGGUGAAUGACUGCAUUUCUUUGUGCAUGGUUACUUCUUUUCCCUUUUUUCAAGAUACCUUGCUGUUUGUUUAAAAAUCCUACUCAAAGAGUUUUUCUGGUAAACGGGCAGAAAUAGCCAUACUGGAUUGGACAGAAGAUGCCUUAGGGCUAAGUCUUUAUUGUCUUUUGAGGUAAGCUUUAAAGCUACCUUACAGUGUGCUAUUCCACAUGGACUCAUUCAUGCUCAGCCACAGGCACCUCACACAUCAGUCUUUCUGGGACAUGCAGUCAGACUAUUAGCAUGCCUCUGGGUCCUGCACUACUCUCUAAUUUAGAACAGGCUUUGGGAUCUAAAGAUGUGUAAAGCAGUUGGUAUCCCAUCUCUUGCGCAGUUGGGUGUUAGAUGCUUCAAAGGAAGGUUCCUAACUACUAACGGUGAAGAAUUUUGAAAUCAGUUAGAAUCAUAGAAUCAUUGAAUAACUUAGGUUGAAGGAGACCUUUGGAUGUCAUCUAAUUCAGUCCAUUGCUCAAAGAGGGUCUAAUUAUAUCAGUUUGCUCAGGAAGGUUUCUAAUCAAGUAUUCAACAGCUCCAAGGCUGGAGAUCCCAAAAGCUGUCUGAACACAUGUUCCAGUGUUUGACUACCCUUAUAAUGAAAAUAUUUUCCUUAUAUCUAAUUGGAAUUUCCUGUGUUCCAAAUUGUGCCCACAGCCUUUUUCCCCCUACUGUUCUGCACAUCUGUUAGGAAUUUUGCUCAGCCUGGCUCCACCUGCUCUGAAUCUUCUGUUCAGGGACUGAACUGAGGCUGGUUGGCCUUUAAGUGACCUGGAUCCUUAUGCCUGCGAUUCCUGAAGAUGGAUGAAGACCUGCUACAAAUGUUAUUGACCUUAAGUCAGAAUUCUGAAAUGCUGAAGAUUUACAACAAUCAGCUUCACUCAUUAAAUGCUUUGAACGUGCCACGAACCACAGCCUGGACCUCAACAGUUUCCCCAGUUACCCCAGCAUACCCAUAUUAUGCUGACACUCAAAUGUUGGACUACAGGAUGCCUGCGAUGCCGUGAUCUGCAAAAAUUUCCUAUUUCUUCUCCUUUAUUGGCGGAAUCACACAGCUCUCCUUUCCAGCCUCUGCAGUCUGAUAUGUGCAUGAGAGAACAAGCAGAACAUUUUCUCUGCUUCAGAAACAGCAUGGUGUUUCCAUGCAGUGUAAUAUCACUGGAGACCUGAAGUCAAGUGGAAGAACAGUCAUCUGUGAUUUCUGUGGAAAGAAGAGAUGAAGAAAUGAGCUUGCUAGAGCACACGUGCGGGUGCAGCAUCCUUCAACAAGCAUUUGUUGAAUGAGCAUAUGUUUUGUCAGUAAAGCCUUCCAGACCGAAUAUUUUUAAAGCAGACACAUACUGUCUAUUUCUUUAAUUACUUAAUAUUUUAAAAAAUAUUUCAAUAAAGUAUUUCAAAUCA